RNAcentral lists this ribosomal RNA (454 nucleotides) under uncultured Porphyromonas sp. Its description in RNAcentral is "partial 16S ribosomal RNA". It matches the Rfam family "Bacterial small subunit ribosomal RNA", at positions 341 to 792 of the family's 1533-position model. The record is from RNAcentral. Lineage: Bacteria; Pseudomonadati; Bacteroidota; Bacteroidia; Bacteroidales; Porphyromonadaceae.
ACGGGAGGCAGCAGUGAGGAAUAUUGGUCAAUGGAGGCAACUCUGAACCAGCCAUCUCGCGUGAAGGAAUACGGCCCUAUGGGUCUUAAACUUCUUUUAUAGGGGGAUAAAGUGAGAUACGCGUAUCUUUUUGUAGGUACCCUAUGAAUAAGCAUCGGCUAACUCCGUGCCAGCAGCCGCGGUAAUACGGAGGAUGCGAGCGUUAUCCGGAUUUAUUGGGUUUAAAGGGUGCGUAGGCUGUGUGUCAAGUCAGUGGUGAAAGGCAGGGGCUCAACCCCGGCACUGCCGUUGAAACUGGCGAGCUCGAGUACGGAUGAAGUCGGCGGAAUGUGAUGUGUAGCGGUGAAAUGCUUAGAUAUGUCACAGAACACCGAUUGCGAAGGCAGCUGACUAAUCCGCAACUGACGCUCAGGCACGAAAGCGUGGGGAUCGAACAGGAUUAGAUACCCUGGUA